AUUAAAAAAAAAAAAAAAAAUACACAUGUAGAGAUGAGUUACUUUUCAAGAAUUUAGAAAAACAAAACAGAAGAAUGAAUUGACAUUCUCAUGUUUUAUGUACUAUCAAUUUGGAUAGUGUACUCUUAUUGGUUAAUAUUGUGAAUUAUCUAGUAUACUCUGAAUCAACUUCCUCAAGCUUGUUAUACAGAAGGUUUAUUCAGUGUGUUAAACUUGAUUUCUGUUAAAAAAAGAAAGUAGUUUAUUCUGCUUCUGUCACAAUGUAAU
This 267-nucleotide unclassified non-coding RNA is filed under the name Hevea brasiliensis (rubber tree). Lineage: Eukaryota; Viridiplantae; Streptophyta; Magnoliopsida; Malpighiales; Euphorbiaceae. The record is from RNAcentral.